RNAcentral lists this transfer RNA (74 nucleotides) under Phycisphaeraceae bacterium. RNAcentral describes it as "tRNA-Met". It matches the Rfam family "tRNA". Rfam says of the family: Transfer RNA (tRNA) molecules are approximately 80 nucleotides in length. Their secondary structure includes four short double-helical elements and three loops (D, anti-codon, and T loops). Further hydrogen bonds mediate the characteristic L-shaped molecular structure. tRNAs have two regions of fundamental functional importance: the anti-codon, which is responsible for specific mRNA codon recognition, and the 3' end, to which the tRNAs corresponding amino acid is attached (by aminoacyl-tRNA synthetases). tRNAs cope with the degeneracy of the genetic code in two manners: having more than one tRNA (with a specific anti-codon) for a particular amino acid; and 'wobble' base-pairing, i.e. permitting non-standard base-pairing at the 3rd anti-codon position. RNAcentral also lists the same sequence under 4 other names. The record is from RNAcentral. Lineage: Bacteria; Pseudomonadati; Planctomycetota; Phycisphaerae; Phycisphaerales; Phycisphaeraceae.
UGCGGGGUAGAGCAGCCUGGUAGCUCGUCGGGCUCAUAACCCGGAGGUCGUAGGUUCGAAUCCUACCCCCGCUA